RNAcentral lists this ribosomal RNA (460 nucleotides) under uncultured bacterium. RNAcentral's name for it is "partial 16S ribosomal RNA". It matches the Rfam family "Bacterial small subunit ribosomal RNA", at positions 338 to 795 of the family's 1533-position model. The record is from RNAcentral.
CCUACGGGAGGCUGCAGUGAGGAAUAUUGGUCAAUGGGCGGAAGCCUGAACCAGCCAAGUCGCGUGAGGGAAUAAGGCCCUACGGGUCGUAAACCUCUUUUGCCGGGGAGCAAGGGCUGGGACGAGUCUCGGUCUGGAGAGUACCAGGAGAAAAAGCAUCGGCUACAUCUGUGCCAGCAGCGGCGGUAAUAAGGAGGAUGCGAGUGUUAUCCGGAUUUAUUGGGUUUAAAGGGGGCGUAGGCGGGCUUUUAUGUCAGCGGUAAAAAUUCGGGGCUCAACCCCGUACGGCCGUUGACACUGGGGGCCUUGAGUGGGCGAGAGGAAGGCGGAAUGCGUGGUGUAGCGGUGAAAUGCAUAGAUAUCACGCAGAACCCCGAUUGCGAAGGCAGCCUUCCGGCGCCCUACUGACGCUGAGGCACGAAAGUGCGGGGAUCGAACAGGAUUAGAUACCCUUGUAGUC